RNAcentral lists this ribosomal RNA (1010 nucleotides) under Burkholderia vietnamiensis. RNAcentral's name for it is "bacterial SSU rRNA". It matches the Rfam family "Bacterial small subunit ribosomal RNA", at positions 28 to 1034 of the family's 1533-position model. The record is from RNAcentral. Lineage: Bacteria; Pseudomonadati; Pseudomonadota; Betaproteobacteria; Burkholderiales; Burkholderiaceae.
GAUGAACGCGGCGGCAUGCUACACAUGCAAGUCGAACGGCAGCACGGGUGCUUGCACUGGUGGCGAGUGGCGAACGGGUGAGUAAUACAUCGGAACAUGUCCUGUAGUGGGGGAUAGCCCGGCGAAAGCCGGAUUAAUACCGCAUACGAUCUAUGGAUGAAAGCGGGGGACCUUCGGGCCUCGCGCUAUAGGGUUGGCCGAUGGCUGAUUAGCUAGUUGGUGGGGUAAAGGCCUACCAAGGCGACGAUCAGUAGCUGGUCUGAGAGGACGACCAGCCACACUGGGACUGAGACACGGCCCAGACUCCUACGGGAGGCAGCAGUGGGGAAUUUUGGACAAUGGGCGAAAGCCUGAUCCAGCAAUGCCGCGUGUGUGAAGAAGGCCUUCGGGUUGUAAAGCACUUUUGUCCGGAAAGAAAUCCUUGGCUCUAAUACAGUCGGGGGAUGACGGUACCGGAAGAAUAAGCACCGGCUAACUACGUGCCAGCAGCCGCGGUAAUACGUAGGGUGCAAGCGUUAAUCGGAAUUACUGGGCGUAAAGCGUGCGCAGGCGGUUUGCUAAGACCGAUGUGAAAUCCCCGGGCUCAACCUGGGAACUGCAUUGGUGACUGGCAGGCUAGAGUAUGGCAGAGGGGGGUAGAAUUCCACGUGUAGCAGUGAAAUGCGUAGAGAUGUGGAGGAAUACCGAUGGCGAAGGCAGCCCCCUGGGCCAAUACUGACGCUCAUGCACGAAAGCGUGGGGAGCAAACAGGAUUAGAUACCCUGGUAGUCCACGCCCUAAACGAUGUCAACUAGUUGUUGGGGAUUCAUUUCCUUAGUAACGUAGCUAACGCGUGAAGUUGACCGCCUGGGGAGUACGGUCGCAAGAUUAAAACUCAAAGGAAUUGACGGGGACCCGCACAAGCGGUGGAUGAUGUGGAUUAAUUCGAUGCAACGCGAAAAACCUUACCUACCCUUGACAUGGUCGGAAUCCUGAAGAGAUUCGGGAGUGCUCGAAAGAGAACCGGCGCA